UGGAGGGCAAGUUUGGUGCCAGCAGCCGCGGUAAUUCCAGCUCCAAUAGCGUAUAUUAAAGUUGUUGCAGUUAAAAAGCUCGUAGUUGAAUUUCGGGAUCAGUACGUUGGUCGUGCCUUUGGUAUGUACUGGCCUUGCUGGUUCCUCCCUUUUGGGGAACCGUAAUGUCAUUAAUUUGGGGGUGCGGGGAAACAGGACUGUUACUUUGAAAAACU
RNAcentral lists this ribosomal RNA (215 nucleotides) under Glomeraceae sp. Its description in RNAcentral is "partial small subunit ribosomal RNA". It matches the Rfam family "Eukaryotic small subunit ribosomal RNA", at positions 549 to 766 of the family's 1831-position model. The record is from RNAcentral. Lineage: Eukaryota; Fungi; Glomeromycota; Glomeromycetes; Glomerales; Glomeraceae.